This 467-nucleotide ribosomal RNA is filed under the name uncultured bacterium. RNAcentral's name for it is "partial 16S ribosomal RNA". It matches the Rfam family "Bacterial small subunit ribosomal RNA", at positions 28 to 506 of the family's 1533-position model. The record is from RNAcentral.
GACGAACGCUGGCGGCGUGCUUAACACAUGCAAGUCGAACGGAAAGGCCCUGCUUUUGUGGGGUGCUCGAGUGGCGAACGGGUGAGUAACACGUGAGUAACCUGCCCUUGACUUUGGGAUAACUUCAGGAAACUGGGGCUAAUACCGGAUAGGAGCUCCUGCUGCAUGGUGGGGGUUGGAAAGUUUCGGCGGUUGGGGAUGGACUCGCGGCUUAUCAGCUUGUUGGUGGGGUAGUGGCUUACCAAGGCUUUGACGGGUAGCCGGCCUGAGAGGGUGACCGGCCAAAUGGGGAUGAAGAAACGGCCCAGACUCCGAGGGGGGGCAGCGGGGGGGAAAAUUGCAAAAGGGGCGGAAGCCGGAUGCAGCAACGCCGGGGGGGGGAUGACGGCCUUCGGGUUGUAAACCGUUUUCGCCUGUGACGAAGCGUGAGGGGCGGUAAUGGGUAAAGAAGCACCGGCUAACUACGU